GGUUCGAUCAUGGCUCAGAUUGAACGCUGGCGGGAUGCUUUUACACAUGCAAGUCGAACGGCAGCACGGACUUCGGUCUGGUGGCGAGUGGCGAACGGUAGAGUAGUCAUCGGAACGUGCCUAGUAGCGGGGAUAACUACGCGAAAGCGUAGCUGAAGGGUCAGCAUACGCCCUUCGGGGAAAGCGGGGACCUUCGGGCCUCGCACUAUUAGAGCGGCCGAUAUCGUGGAUUAGCUAGUUGGUGGGGUAACGGCUCACCAAGGCGACGAUCCGUAGCUGGUUUGAGAGGACGACCAGCCACACUGGGACUGAGACACGGCCCAGACUCCUACGGAGGCAGCAGGGGAAUUUUGACAAUGGGGAAACUCCCGAUCCAGCCAUCCCGCGUGUGCGAUGAAGGCCUUCGGGUUGUAAAGCACUUUUGGGCAGAAAGAAAACGGCACGGGAUAAUACCCGUGCAACUGGACGGUACCUGCAGAAUAAGCACCGCUAACUACGCGUCAGCAGCCGCGGUAAUACGUAGGGUGCAAGGUUAAUCGGAAUUACUGGGCGUAAAGCGUGCGCAGGCGGUUCGGAAAGAAAGAUGCGAAAUCCCAGAGCUUAACUUUGGAACUGCAUUUUUAACUACCGAGCUAGAGUGUGUCAGAGGAGCGUGGAAUUCCGCGUAGCAGUGAAAUGCGUGCAGAUAUGCGGAGGAACACCGAUGGCGAAGGGCAGCCUCCUGAUAACACUGACGCUCAUGCACGAAAGCGUGGGGAGCAAACAGGAUUAGAUACCCUGUAGUCCACGCCCUAAACGAUGUCAACUAGCUGUUGGGGCCUUCGGCCCGGUAGCGCAGCUAACGCGUGAAGUUGACCGCCUGGGGAGUACGGUCGCAAGAUUAAAACUCAAAGGAAUUGACGGGGACCCGCACAAGCGGUGGAUGAUGUGGAUUACCCGAUGCAACGCGAAAAACCUUACCUACCCUUGACAUGUCUGGAAUCCCGAAGAGAUUUGGGAGUGCUCGCAAGAGAACCGGAACACAGGUGCCGCAUGGCUGUCGUCAGCUCGUGUCGAGAUGUUGGGUUAAGUCCCGCAACGAGCGCAACCCUUGUCAUUAGUUGCUACGAAAGGGCACUCUAAUGAGACUGCCGGUGACAAACCGGAGGAAGGUGGGGAUGACGUCAAGUCCUCAUGGCCCUUAUGGGCAGGGCUUCACACGUCAUACAAUGGUCGGGACAGAGGGUCGCCAACCCGCGAGGGGGAGCCAAUCAGAAACCUGAUCGUAGUCCGGAUCGCAGUCUGCAACUCGACUGCGUGUAGUCGGAAUCGCUAGUAAUCGCGGAUCAGCAUGUCGCGGUGAAUACGUUCCCGGGUCUUGUACACACCGCCUGUCACACCAUGGGAGUGGGUUUUACCAGAAGUAGUUAGCCUAACCGUAAGGAGGGCGAUUACCACGGUAGGAUUCAUGACCGGGGUGAAGUCGUAACAAGGUAG
RNAcentral lists this ribosomal RNA (1476 nucleotides) under uncultured Bordetella sp. RNAcentral describes it as "partial 16S-23S ribosomal RNA intergenic spacer". It matches the Rfam family "Bacterial small subunit ribosomal RNA". The record is from RNAcentral. Lineage: Bacteria; Pseudomonadati; Pseudomonadota; Betaproteobacteria; Burkholderiales; Alcaligenaceae.